AAUAUAUAAAAUAUACAACAACCUGAUGGAAAAUGUAAUGGAAUUACAUUUUCCAUCAGGUUGUUGUAUAUUUUAUAUAUUA
This 82-nucleotide microRNA precursor is filed under the name Pelobates cultripes (western spadefoot toad). The record is from RNAcentral. Lineage: Eukaryota; Metazoa; Chordata; Amphibia; Anura; Pelobatidae.